This is a non-coding RNA of Macaca mulatta (Rhesus monkey), 1331 nucleotides long. The record is from RefSeq and is a predicted model, not a curated record. NCBI's taxonomy places the organism in Eukaryota, Metazoa, Chordata, Mammalia, Primates, Cercopithecidae.
AAAAUGGCAAGACUUUCCUGAAACAACAUUUAGUAUUUGUUUUUAAAACAAACCCCUGGGUUUAUUUUGUAAAAUCUCAUGAAUUUUUUUAUUCAUCUCAUAUCCUUUUUAGGGCUGCUCUAUGCCAAAGGAAAUAAGAUUAAGGCAACGCAGGAAGAGUUCUGGUUCGCAAUAAGGCACAAUGGAUAUAUCUUGUGUGGGAUUUGAAAGGAAGAAUAGAAAAAUCUACAUGAGUACUCUUGGGGGAACAGAAUUACAUUGCCUCUCCGUGGACUCCUGGCUGUACAUUCUCCAAUAAGCAGUCUUGGUGACCCACUGGAAUGUGCCCUUUCAGCUACUGUCAUUAAUGGAUCUGAGCGAUUUCACUUCUAUAGCGAUUACAUCGUGAGAGCACUGGCCCUAUAAAGCCAAGAAGGAAUGAAAAGAGGCUAAGACAAAAAAUAAACUUCAGAUUUUGCAACAUGAUAGUCUGAAAGACAGGCCAACACAGGCAGCUCUUUGGAAACAAGAGACCUGGUGCUUCCAACGGCCAAAAAGCUGGCCAAACACCAGCAACAAGGGAAAGACACGUCAGGUAGGUUCUGCUGAUUUCCCAGGCCUCCUUUAAUUCUUUUACAGAGGACUUCUUUUAACAAAUUAUUAACACUAUUUUGUUCUGAUGGUUCAUCUGUGUUUCUGUUAACCAUACUCUCCUGGAAGAGACUUUGGCCAUCUGGAUGUGGUUUUUGUUUCUGUGAGAAAGGAAUUUUGUGUCCUUGACAUGUCCCUAGUAUAAAUGAAUGUUUAAUAAGGAAAGCAUGGAUCAAGAUGGUAUAUGUUUCCAGGUUAGUUUAGAACAACUACUAUGAGUUAUUUAGUGCAUACAAUUAAGCAUGAAAGCAUGAAAAAUACAUUUAUUAAAAAAUAUUUAUGGGACACUCCAGAAUAACUUGAUAGUUUGGGACAAUCACAUGACCUUCUGCACAUAACAUGGUCAUCCUUGGGUUAAAAAAGGCAACUAAAUUCAAAUUUACACACUAUAUACUAGUGUGAAUUUUACUUUCAAGAGAUCUUGAUAAGCUUGUUUCAUUAUUAAAAAACUAGGAAUUUAAGAUAUAGAUUUGCAGCAAACUAUAACAAACGACAAGCUAAAGGCUAAAUCAACUCAAGGAAUAAUGUUUGAAGUGCAUAUACGUUUUCUGGUUUUCACUCUUUACUGCACUGACAAUUUCUAUGUCAUCAUUAGUCCCCAAAUAUUAGUAAGUAUCUUAUCUGGCCAGUGAGUUUUGUUUUUCUUCUGAAUUUUAAAGUUGAAGAGCCAGUGAGGUAUUUUCUCAUAAGUUAAAUCAAAU